Molecule: ribosomal RNA, 301 nt
Filed under: uncultured bacterium
Lineage: Bacteria
Description: partial 16S ribosomal RNA
Rfam family: Bacterial small subunit ribosomal RNA
Source: RNAcentral
CAGUCGCCGCGGGAAUACGGAGGGGGCUAGCGUUGUUCGGAAUUGCUGGGCGUAAAGCGUACGUAGGCGGCUUUGUAAGUUAGAGGUGAAAGCCCGGGGCUCAACCCCGGAAUUGCCUUUAAGACUGCAUCGCUUGAAUCGCGGAGAGGUGAGUGGAAUUCCGAGUGUAGAGGUGAAAUUCUUAGAUAUUCGGAAGAACACCAGUGGCGAAGGCGGCUCACUGGACGCGUAUUGACGCUGAGGUACGAAAGCGUGGGGAGCAAACAGGAUUAGAUACCCCUGUAGUCCCUGUCUCUUAUAC